UUCGACCUGAACUCAGACGUGAUUACCCGCUGA
RNAcentral lists this ribosomal RNA (33 nucleotides) under Hemicriconemoides brachyurus. RNAcentral's name for it is "partial 28S ribosomal RNA". The record is from RNAcentral. Lineage: Eukaryota; Metazoa; Nematoda; Chromadorea; Rhabditida; Criconematidae.